Molecule: transfer RNA, 90 nt
Filed under: Eubacteriales bacterium
Lineage: Bacteria; Bacillati; Bacillota; Clostridia; Eubacteriales
Description: tRNA-Ser
Rfam family: tRNA
About the family: Transfer RNA (tRNA) molecules are approximately 80 nucleotides in length. Their secondary structure includes four short double-helical elements and three loops (D, anti-codon, and T loops).
Source: RNAcentral
GGAGUCAUACCCAAGAGGCCGAAGGGGCGCCCCUGCUAAGGGUGUAGGUCGGAUUAAACCGGCGCGAGAGUUCAAAUCUCUCUGACUCCG